This is a long non-coding RNA of Syngnathus typhle (broad-nosed pipefish), 718 nucleotides long. RefSeq lists it as uncharacterized. Lineage: Eukaryota; Metazoa; Chordata; Actinopteri; Syngnathiformes; Syngnathidae. The transcript has 3 exons. The record is from RefSeq and is a predicted model, not a curated record.
CCUGAAUUCCUCCUCAAAGUUUACGCAAGGUGCACCUACGUGAGAGUGGCCUGGCCUCAGGUGGCGGGUUGGACACGGAUGCCGUGAAUUGCAGCUUGAGCUUCAUGUGCUGACUCAGCUGAGGAGGCAAAAAGGAGGGCCAGGUGGUACCUCAUAGAGUCCCGGUCGGAGGAUCUGGAAGGCUACGCUGAAGGUCAGCGUGCUGCCCUUGCGACAGUGGCCCAGGUUGCUGAGGGGGGUGUGGCACACCACCGCAGAAAGCGUGGUGUCCUCGCUCUGACCGCGCCCUGAAAAUACAAACUGCGCCGUCAAGGACUACAUGGUCCAAUUUCCAAUCAUCCAUUUGGUUAAGAACAGGACCACAGCACAAACCCACCCUCGGGGGUCCAGACCAGGCGCACGGACAGGAAGUCCUGCAGGUUGUUGAGCAGCACAUAUUUGACCUUGAAGUGCUCCUUUACCUCGACGGUGCUGGGACAGCUUGCCGUCAUCACGAAGCGCGGCCGGUCCAGGCGGACGCUUGGCAACCUGGUGGAUGCGCAGCGCUGGCAAUGGGUGUAGAUGCAGUUGGUGAAGGGCAUCUUGGCAGUUGACCACUGCAGCACAGCAACCAGAGGGACCUCCAUCCCCUGAGAAGAAGGACGCAAACAUUAGGGGGAGCACAUUUUUUAUCUAGAACGCCUUCCAAACGCACCUCAUUGGACUCGUCCAGCGGCAU